Molecule: ribosomal RNA, 253 nt
Filed under: uncultured bacterium
Lineage: Bacteria
Description: partial 16S ribosomal RNA
Rfam family: Bacterial small subunit ribosomal RNA
Source: RNAcentral
UACAGAGGUCUCAAGCGUUGUUCGGAUUCAUUGGGCGUAAAGGGUGCGUAGGUGGCGCCGUAAGUCAGGUGUGAAAUUUCGGAGCUUAACUCCGAAACUGCAUUUGAUACUGCGGUGCUUGAGGACUGGAGAGGAGACUGGAAUUCACGGUGUAGCAGUGAAAUGCGUAGAUAUCGGGAGGAACACCAGUGGCGAAGGCGACUACCUGGCCUGUUCUUGACGCUGAGGCGCGAAAGCUAGGGGAGCAAACGGG